RNAcentral lists this ribosomal RNA (94 nucleotides) under Staphylococcus aureus. Lineage: Bacteria; Bacillati; Bacillota; Bacilli; Caryophanales; Staphylococcaceae. The record is from RNAcentral.
UAGCAAGGAGGUCACACCUGUUUCCAUGCCGAACACAGAAGUUAAGCUCCUUAGCGUCGAUGGUAGUCGAACUUACGUUCCGCUAGAGUAGAAC